This 21-nucleotide unclassified non-coding RNA is filed under the name Mus musculus (house mouse). RNAcentral's name for it is "oocyte_clustered_small_RNA2251". Lineage: Eukaryota; Metazoa; Chordata; Mammalia; Rodentia; Muridae. The record is from RNAcentral.
CGUGUGGGCCAUCCACUGGCC